RNAcentral lists this long non-coding RNA (217 nucleotides) under Carica papaya (papaya). RNAcentral describes it as "long non-coding RNA (CPAP_LNC001660)". Lineage: Eukaryota; Viridiplantae; Streptophyta; Magnoliopsida; Brassicales; Caricaceae. The record is from RNAcentral.
ACGGACGGUCCAGAUUCAAUCAAGUAUAGACGGUCCAGAUUUAAUCGCGAUGGACGGUUCAGAUUUAAUCCAAAUUAAAUCGCGAUCGAACGACCCAAAUUAAAUCAAGAUGGACGGCUGUGAUUAAAAGGCAAAGGGUAUAAAUAAACCCCCCACACCUGACCACAAAAACCGUAGCCGCCAGCCCUCGCCGGAGAAGACGAACCAGAUGCCGGAG